GGGUGGGGGGUGAGGCGCCAAUUUGGAUUUCGCCUAGGGCAUCAAAAUGGCUAGAAACGGCCCUGUCUACAACAUUCAUCUUUACAAUG
Molecule: long non-coding RNA, 89 nt
Organism: Sinocyclocheilus anshuiensis
Lineage: Eukaryota; Metazoa; Chordata; Actinopteri; Cypriniformes; Cyprinidae
Exons: 4
Source: RefSeq, a predicted model, not a curated record